GAAGAUCCCUGAGCAGAUCGCAGCCAGGGACCCGCAACUCUUUCUCCUGGAGCGUCUUAAUCAAAACCUGCCAACUCGCUGCUAAUGAAGAAUCUGCAUCUUCCUGUAUGUGAUAAUUUUUCUGUUACAAGAGAAGAUCCUCCAAUGGAAUUGAUUCCUCUUGAAGACUAUGGAAUAUCCAAAAGACUAAAGAGAGAGGAUAUUUUACACUGGCUGAAAUCCUAGCCUUCAUUGAAGACAACGGCAAAAUUGCCAUUAAAUUCAAUGGAGCCCAGAUUUCACCCAUUGUAUUUUACAUUUGUUUUAUUUCUUCACUGUGUAUUUGUAUUCCCCGGUAUUGGAGGGUGGGUAUACAUCCUCUUGUGUAUCAGGUCCGUUUUGCAAAAUAAGGACCAUGGAUGAAAUCCUGACCCCACUGAAGUUAACAAACAAACCCGAAAAACCUCUCAUUGACUUCAAUAUGGACAGUAAUUCACCACUGAUCCUCCAGUUGACGGCAUGCAAGGGGAUUGCUCUGCCCACGCAAAGCCCUAACAGUACUGGGCCUGAAAGAUUUCCCAACGGAGGUGACCUAUGAAUUACUGUUCAUUUUUGUUCCAACUUGAUUUCAACCUCCAACUAUGCAGGUGGGAAGGUACUCCCUUUUUGGGUUGGAAAAAUUAAGCCAUCUUUUGUUUUGUGCAAGUGUCAAAUUUCACAAGAACUUCUUCCUGUUGCCAUAAAAUAAACAGAAAAAAAAAUCUUAAAAUGGGUAAAAAAGUUUAAUUAUGUUUAUUAAAGACUAGAGGUUGGAAUUUCUAUGGAAACACUUGUGCUAGGUGUAAAGAAGGCAGGCUAUUCAUUUUAAGAAAGAGGGGUAUAUGUCCAUUUUUUCAGAUCCAUUGUAAUAGUCUGCACCAGAUAAUCUAUAUUUAGUUCCUCGAUAAUUUUCACAUUGGAGAAUAUUUUAUCAAUAUCCUAAUUGAGUGCCUAAGCCCUGUUCCCUACAGAACAGCUUCUUCGUCAACAUUAACCUUGGCACAAUUUUCAAUCAUUGAUAACUUCAAUAAUAUUCUACCAAUUUUGUUUUCUAAUUGGAUUAUUGACAUGUUCUUCAAUGAGGAUUAUUAAAGAUUGAAGCUGCAAAAUUCAGCCAUUUAAAACUUAAGUAUUUGUAUGGGAAAACAUAUUUUUCUUAUCCUCAAAAGCAUCUGAAAAGGAUCUUGCUCAAAUCUUAAACAAAAACAAACAACAAAAAAAGAUUCUCCUUUGAUCAAAGACCAAGCAGAAAAGAUAUCAAUCCACAUUUUUCUUUUCAGAACAUUCUGAGAUGUGAAGACAAUGGUUUAUCAUCAAAACUGUUCUGCAACCUUCACUAUACAAUUUACUACCAAAUACUAUGAUAUUUUAAGCAUAAGUGCUUGAUUAAUACAUUAAUCCUGAACUUUCUGUUUCUAAUUGUGAACACUGAAUCUCACUAAGAUAAGCAAUAAGCUUAGAUGCAAGUAGAUCUGAUCAGUUAAUCAUGAAGAGAAAUUAUACAUCUUCACAUCCCACUAAUUAAGGGAAAAAUGCAAAUUAAUAAUGUUUUUCAAACUUGAAUGACAGUAACCAGAUUAUGUACAUUGUACAAAUACUAAAGAUUUUCAGCUUUGAAUUGAUUUGAUGUGUGUAAUCAAGCAAUCAUAGAUUAACAGACAGCAAUAAAAAUAAUAUGAGUCAGAGAUCUGGGAAAAUGUCAGGUAAUCAGAAAAGUGAAGGCUAACGGAGGCAAGAAAUGCAGAAAGUUUCAUACCUGAUAACACCCACGGGUUUGAAUUUUGUCUAGAAUGCUCAGAAAUGCCAUUUCUUUUGCUUUAAAAUUUGAAUAUAAAAGAACUAAGAAUAUAAUUACUACAAAAUAACGUUAAACACUUUCAUCAUAUCUGGACAUAAAGAGACAACAAUUUUUCUUUCAAAACACCACCACCAGCAAAUGGAACAUGACCAGACACCGAAGAUUUGAAGACAUUGAUGUUCUGGCAAUAUUCCAAAAAGAACCUAGUUAUGCCAAUUAAACCUGCUCUGAAGUUGGAGUGGAGGGAAUUUUUAAAAGAAAUCAGUAAGGUAGUGCUAACGACCUGUGAAAUUAAAAUUAUAUGGUCACAUUUUUGCCAUUGUUACUGAUAAACAAUUCAAAUAUUGAAAUCAACACUUAAAAAUUCUAAAUGUACAACUAUUUUAAUGCUAGCUAUGCAAUAAAUGUCAUUUUAUGAAGAAUGCUCAAUGGUGGCUGUCGGCUAACAUUUUAGUGGGAUUCUAACUCACGUUAGCUGUGCAUUUACUCAUUUUAGAGUCAGUCCUAUGGUGAGGACUUCCUUGGUAUACUUCAUGGAUAACAAAAUCUUGUAACUCUGCU
Non-coding RNA from Chelonoidis abingdonii (Abingdon island giant tortoise), 2377 nucleotides. Lineage: Eukaryota; Metazoa; Chordata; Testudines; Testudinidae. The record is from RefSeq and is a predicted model, not a curated record.